UCAGCACCCAAACCCAAAGCUCAUAUCUUUGAGAGGUAUGAUUUUUGUCUGGUGUGCAAACAGAAAACAGAUCCUUGUCGCCUUUCUCUGAUGCUGCAGUGCUGUUGAAAGUGAAUUAAAGGGAUGUCUUUGA
This is a small nucleolar RNA of Notolabrus celidotus (New Zealand spotty), 133 nucleotides long. RefSeq annotates it as small nucleolar RNA SNORA68. The record is from RefSeq and is a predicted model, not a curated record. The transcript has a single exon. Lineage: Eukaryota; Metazoa; Chordata; Actinopteri; Labriformes; Labridae.